AUUGAACGCUGGCGGCAGGCCUAACACAUGCAAGUCGAACGAGUGGCGGACGGGUGAGUAAUGUCUGGGAAAAUGCCUGAUGGAGGGGGACAACUACUGUAAACGGUAGCUAAUACCGCACACCAUUGGAGGCGCCAAGAUGGGAUUAGCUAGUAGGUGGGGGAAAGGCUCACCUAGGAGACGAUCCCUAGCUGGUCUGAGAGGAUGACCAGCCAAACUGGGACUGAGACACGGUCCAGACUCCUACGGGAGGCAGCAGUGGGGAAUAUUGCACAAUGGGCGCAAGCCUGAUGCAGCCAUGCCGCGUGUAUGAAGAAGGCCUUCGGGUUGUAAAGUACUUUCAGCGGGGAGGCGUUACCCGCAGAAGAAGCACCGGCUAACUCCGUGCCAGCAGCCGCGGUAAUAC
Molecule: ribosomal RNA, 406 nt
Filed under: uncultured bacterium
Lineage: Bacteria
Description: partial 16S ribosomal RNA
Rfam family: Bacterial small subunit ribosomal RNA
Source: RNAcentral